ACCGGCAAACGGGUGCGGAACACGUACGCAACCUUCCUUCAAGCGGGGAAUAGCCCAGGGAAACUUGGAUUAAUACCCCAUAACACAAUUGGUUCGCAUGGACUGAUUGUUAAAGAAUUUCACUUGAAGAUGGGCGUGCGUCUGAUUAGGUAGUUGGCGGGGUAACGGCCCACCAAGCCUACGAUCAGUAACUGGUGUGAGAGCACGACCAGUCACACGGGCACUGAGACACGGGCCCGACUCCUACGGGAGGCAGCAGUAAGGAAUAUUGGGCAAUGGACGAAAGUCUGACCCAGCCAUGCCGCGUGGAGGAUGAAGGUCCUCUGGAUUGUAAACUUCUUUUAUCUGGGAAGAAAAAAGGGAAUUCUUUCCCGUCUGACGGUACCAGAUGAAUAAGCACCGGCUAACUCCGUGCCAGCAGCCGCGGUAAUACGGAGGGUGCAAGCGUUAUCCGGAUUUACUGGGUUUAAAGGGUGCGUAGGUGGACUGGUAAGUCCGUGGUGAAAUCCCCGAGCUUAACUUGGGAACUGCCAUGGAUACUAUUAGUCUUGAAUUUUCUGGAGGUUAGCGGAAUAUGUCAUGUAGCGGUGAAAUGCUUAGAUAUGACAUAGAACACCGAUUGCGAAGGCAGCUGGCUACAGAAACAUUGACACUGAGGCACGAAAGCGUGGGGAUCAAACAGGAUUAGAUACCCUGGUAGUCCACGCCCUAAAC
RNAcentral lists this ribosomal RNA (714 nucleotides) under uncultured Chitinophagaceae bacterium. Its description in RNAcentral is "bacterial SSU rRNA". It matches the Rfam family "Bacterial small subunit ribosomal RNA", at positions 94 to 807 of the family's 1533-position model. Lineage: Bacteria; Pseudomonadati; Bacteroidota; Chitinophagia; Chitinophagales; Chitinophagaceae. The record is from RNAcentral.